Long non-coding RNA from Aquila chrysaetos chrysaetos, 690 nucleotides. RefSeq lists it as uncharacterized. The transcript has 2 exons. The record is from RefSeq and is a predicted model, not a curated record. NCBI's taxonomy places the organism in Eukaryota, Metazoa, Chordata, Aves, Accipitriformes, Accipitridae.
GGAGCGGGGCCGCCGGGGGGGGGGUGUGGAGGCGGGAGGCUGGUUUCGCCACCAGGGCGGGGGGGCGCGGGGAGCCGCGCCUGGAAGAGCACAUUGUGGAGGGCCGGGGAGGGCCCUUCCUCCCGGAGGAAGAGACAAUGUCCAGGGCCGGGCGCCUGCUGGAGAGCCGCGAGAAUGCACGGCCGGCGGCACGGCUCGAUGAUUCUCCCUAUCGCACCGUGGGAGCAGAAGAGGACCCUACUCCGCCAAGCAGCAGCAUCCCUCAACGCUGCAGCCUCUUGUCUGAAUGUUGCAUCUCGGCUGUUGUUAAAUCGGUGGCUCUUCAGGGCAGCUCCCUGACAGCGAGGCUGCCCACCGAGCUCGGCCGUGCCCCCCAGCACGGCCCUGUGCAGGGACACCGUGCUGCCAGGUCCCCGGGAGGGCUGGGGAUGCUGUGACCCGGCUCCGGGCGGGCAGCGCGUGGUGUCCUGGCAUCCCCCAGGACGGUACCCGCUCCCAGGCAGGGCCCCGAGAGCCGCGGGUCGGUGACCUCCCGCCCGGUUGGGGAUCGCCGCGAUGGGUGCUGGCAUCUCGGCAUCCCCCUCCCCAGCCCGUCUCACGUCUCUUGCUGUUUAAUGGUUAUGAAGGAAAUUUUUACAAAAUAAACCAAGUGUAACGGAUUCAGCGGCGGAGCCUGCGGUAGGCCGGUGC